Molecule: long non-coding RNA, 1556 nt
Filed under: Sus scrofa (pig)
Lineage: Eukaryota; Metazoa; Chordata; Mammalia; Artiodactyla; Suidae
Description: lncRNA (ENSSSCG00065015150.1)
Source: RNAcentral
UGAUAGUCAAAAAUACCUAACAUUCAAUCCAGGGCUCCCUUACUGCAUAUCUUCCCAAAUGUUAAUUAUCUGUAUUUUUUUGUUUUUGUUGUGGAAAUUUUUAUUCCUUGCUGACCAGUAUGAUUAAUAUGAUACACACACAAACUCAAAAUGUUUAGGUAGAAACCACGCAAAAGACUUUUUCAGUGGGCUCAUGUCUCCCAUGGAUAAGGACUAAAUACUUCUGUGAGAGUACUGGUUCUUCAAAGCGUUGAGCCAAAACAUAUUCUUUAAAAACUCUUCCUUUUGGAAGUUCCCAUUGUGGCUCAGUGGGUUAAGAACCUGACUAGUAUCCAUGAGGAUGCAGGUUCCAUCCCUGGUCUGGAUCAGUGGGUUAAGGAUCCACUCACUGGGUUAAGGAGCCAGCGUUGCCACAAGAGCUCAGAACUGGUGUUGCUGUGCCUGUGGCAUGUGACUCUGAUUCAAUCCCUAGCCUGAGAACCUCCAUGCGCUGUGGGUGCAGCACUAAAAAGACUCAAAAUAAUAACUAUUUUAAUAAUAAUUUAAAAAAACCCUCCUUUUGGAGCUGUUGGAAACACCCUUGGGCAUUUCAUUCUAGGUCGUAACAGAGCAUGGGCUGGACCCAAGGGCCCUGCCUUGCAGCCAGUGCUGGGGUACACAUGAUGCUAGCUCCCACCCAGUCAUCUGGUCCCUAGAGAUCAACAUUAUCAACUCAACUUACCCCUUCAGGUGUGAACUUCCCUUAUGCUUGACGGUGGCUUCCAGUAAAUCGCUGUUUCCAGUUGGCCAAACUUGGCUCUCAGUAUGUGAAGCAGACUCAUUUGCCAAGUCAAUUCGUCAGAAGAACAAUUCACCCAAUUAUCGGAGACUGAAGUGUCCAUAUAGGGCCCAACUCCAUCUCUCACCCCAGAAGCUGUCAGAAAAGUGUCCUCCUCUGAACACGAGACAGUUUGCAGAGUCACAGUAAAAGGCAGGUGAAAAGCAGAAGCAAGUUUAUUUUGCUGUAAAAGGGGGAUAGUGCUGUCGAGUUCCAGGGGUAUUGUUAGGAUUAACUCAGCUAAUACCAAAAAAGCAGGUGAUAUUCAGCACUCAACAGAUGUUAGUGAUUAUUACCAUCAUAAUAAUUAUCAGUUUUAAUUUCACACAUGGAUGUAAAUUAUAGGUAUUAAACUGUACAUUUGAUGGAAGGUGAAAAUAACCGUUUAAAUAGGCAUGCCAGGAAAAGAAGAAAGGUAGCAAUCCCCAGGGCCAAUUCAGUGCUCCAUACCCUUGGUCUCAUCAUUUACACAGGGAGGGGAGAGGGGCUGGAGAUGGAGUUCAGUCACCAAUGGACAAUGAUCUAAUCAGUUGUGAUUAUGGAAUGAAGCCUUCAUGAAGCCCCAGACAGCAAGAGAGCUUCGGGGUUGGCGCUUGCGUGGAGAAUGCCAGGAGAUGGUGGAAGCUCCAAGCCCCUUCCUAUGUGCCCUGCCCAAUGUAUCUCUUCCAGCUGGCGGUUUCUAAGUUAUGUCCUUUUAUAUGAUAAUAAACCAGUGACCUAGUGAGUAAAAUGUUUCUCU